AUUGAACGCUGGCGGCAUGCCUUACACAUGCAAGUCGAACGGUAACAGCACUUCGGUGGCUGACGAGUGGCGAACGGGUGAGUAAUACAUCGGAACGUGCCCGAGAGUGGGGGAUAACGCAGCGAAAGCUGUGCUAAUACCGCAUACGAUCUACGGAUGAAAGCAGGGGAUUCGCAAGGACCUUGCGCUCAUGGAGCGGCCGAUGGCAGAUUAGCUAGUUGGUGGGAUAAAAGACUUACCAAGCCGACGAUCUGUAGCUGGUCUGAGAGGACGACCAGCCACACUGGGACUGAGACACGGCCCAGACUCCUACGGGAGGCAGCAGUGGGGAAUUUUGGACAAUGGGCGAAAGCCUGAUCCAGCCAUGCCGCGUGCAGGAUGAAGGCC
This 387-nucleotide ribosomal RNA is filed under the name uncultured bacterium. RNAcentral describes it as "bacterial SSU rRNA". It matches the Rfam family "Bacterial small subunit ribosomal RNA", at positions 30 to 416 of the family's 1533-position model. The record is from RNAcentral.